UAGGGAAUCUUCCGCAAUGGGCGAAAGCCUGACGGAGCAACGCCGCGUGAGUGAUGAAGGUCUUCGGAUCGUAAAACUCUGUUAUUAGGGAAGAACAUAUGUGUAAGUAACUGUGCACAUCUUGACGGUACCUAAUCAGAAAGCCACGGCUAACUACGUGCCAGCAGCCGCGGUAAUACGUAGGUGGCAAGCGUUAUCCGGAAUUAUUGGGCGUAAAGCGCGCGUAGGCGGUUUUUUAAGUCUGAUGUGAAAGCCCACGGCUCAACCGUGGAGGGUCAUUGGAAACUGGAAAACUUGAGUGCAGAAGAGGAAAGUGGAAUUCCAUGUGUAGCGGUGAAAUGCGCAGAGAUAUGAAGGAACACCAGUGGCGAAGGCGACUUUCUGGUCUGUAACUGACGCUGAUGUGCGAAAGCGUGGGGAUCAAACAGGAUUAGAUACCCUGGUAGUCCACGCCGUAACGAUGAGUGCUAAGUGUUAGGGGGUUUCCGCCCCUUAGUGCUGCAGCUAACGCAUUAAGCACUCCGCCUGGGGGGUACGACCGCAAGGUUG
This 549-nucleotide ribosomal RNA is filed under the name uncultured bacterium. RNAcentral's name for it is "bacterial SSU rRNA". It matches the Rfam family "Bacterial small subunit ribosomal RNA", at positions 355 to 896 of the family's 1533-position model. The record is from RNAcentral.